Molecule: long non-coding RNA, 451 nt
Organism: Tarenaya hassleriana
Lineage: Eukaryota; Viridiplantae; Streptophyta; Magnoliopsida; Brassicales; Cleomaceae
Exons: 2
Source: RefSeq, a predicted model, not a curated record
AGAGAGAGAGAGAGAGAGAGAGAGAGAGAGAGAGAUGGCUAAUACCCUUGGGAAGAAUGCUUUCAUCUUCAUUGUUUUCUUCACCCUCUUCAUCGGAGCAUCUCUAUCCUGUGAAGUCUCGACCUACUUCAGAGAUGGUACGUCUUGCAGUGAUUGCAACCGUAGAUGCACAUACGCCUACGCGUAUAAACGGGGCGCUUGUGUUGGAUUAUGGCCGCUUCGUCAAUGCGUCUGCUACAAAGGCUGUGGCAAGUGAACGAUUGAAUAUAUAUGAACCAUCAUCCAAUAUGGGUAUGCUUAUAUAUAUAUAUAUAAGCAUAUGAGCGUGAGAAUGUGUGUUAAUUUGUUCUUUCAUGUUGUCUAUGAUUGCACCCAUGUUUGUGUUUGUUUGUUUGCUUGUGUUUGAUUUUGUAAUAAAAAGAAAGGGCUGCGUACAGCCCCUUUUGUGAUU